This 398-nucleotide ribosomal RNA is filed under the name uncultured bacterium. Its description in RNAcentral is "partial 16S ribosomal RNA". It matches the Rfam family "Bacterial small subunit ribosomal RNA", at positions 523 to 918 of the family's 1533-position model. The record is from RNAcentral.
AUACGUAGGGUGCGAGCGUUGUCCGGAAUUACUGGGCGUAAAGAGCUCGUAGGUGGUUUGUCGCGUCGUCUGUGAAAUUCCGGGGCUUAACUCCGGGCGUGCAGGCGAUACGGGCAUAACUUGAGUACUGUAGGGGAGACUGGAAUUCCUGGGGUGGCGGUGAAAUGCGCAUAUAUCAGGAGGAACACCGGUGGCGAAGGCGGGUCUCUGGGCAGUAACUGACGCUGAGGAGCGAAAGCAUGGGUAGCGAACAGGAUUAGAUACCCUGGUAGUCCAUGCCGUAAACGGUGGGCGCUAGGUGUAGGGGUCUUCCACGACUUCUGUGCCGUAGCUAACGCAUUAAGCGCCCCGCCUGGGGAGUACGGCCGCAAGGCUAAAACUCAAAGGAAUUGACGGGG